RNAcentral lists this unclassified non-coding RNA (346 nucleotides) under soil metagenome. RNAcentral's name for it is "partial contains 5.8S ribosomal RNA, internal transcribed spacer 2, and large subunit ribosomal RNA". The stretch from base 1 to 121 matches the Rfam family "5.8S ribosomal RNA", at positions 35 to 154 of the family's 154-position model. The record is from RNAcentral.
GAUGAAGAACCGCAGCGAAAUGCGAUACGUAAUGUGAAUUGCAGAAUUCAGUGAAUCAUCGAGUCUUUGAACGCACAUUGCGCCCCCUGGUAUUCCGGGGGGCAUGCCUGUCCGAGCGUCAUUGCUGCCCUCAAGCACGGCUUGUGUGUUGGGCCUCCGUCCUCCUCCCGGGGGACGGGCCCGAAAGGCAGCGGCGGCACCGCGUCCGGUCCUCGAGCGUAUGGGGCUUCGUCACCCGCUCUUGUAGGCCCGGCCGGCGCUUGCCGACACAUCAAUCUUUUUUCCAGGUUGACCUCGGAUCAGGUAGGGAUACCCGCUGAACUUAAGCAUAUCAAUAAGCGGAGGA